Long non-coding RNA from Cryptotermes secundus, 920 nucleotides. RefSeq lists it as uncharacterized. The transcript is spliced from 2 exons. The record is from RefSeq and is a predicted model, not a curated record. NCBI's taxonomy places the organism in Eukaryota, Metazoa, Arthropoda, Insecta, Blattodea, Kalotermitidae.
AAGAGUUAAGCAGAAAACUGCUCGAAAUGAAAUAAAUGUGUACAAAAUUCUCUUUAUUAAAAGGGUCAAAUAAAAACCAGGUUAUGUACCUAGAAAAUAAAUCUUCCGAAAAGUAUACAGAAUUCCAGCACCUUCCCUUACUUCACCAUUCUAAAUAAAAAUUAUACAGUGGCGUGCCACCAAAGAAGCCGGGCGAUAAGACGGCAACGGCUGCGAUAAACAUAUAUACUUCAGUGGGAACGGAAUACCAGCAGGGCGUUGCCUAUGGAUCCCCAGGGAUGAAGGGACAACAAAAGGUUCAUUGCAUAACAGCGGGCGAAACCAAAGCCUCCUACAUGGUGCGCUCUUUUCAGUCUGAGUGCAUGUUAUAAGAGUCCAGUUUCGAUGAGAUCAGUCAGUUUUUAGUGUAGCUCCAACUAGAGAAGAAGCAAGCUCGCAUGCAACAAAGGACAGAAGACACUUCACCAAGAACAGUGGUGCAAUUAAUUAUAGGAGUGAAGAGGAAACAUCUAAAGGACAUUACAAGUUGAUAAUAAUUGUGUGAGUGUAAAAGAGAUUGUCCAAUACACCGUCUUAGCUAAAUCCAAGACCACCUGCGUGAAUUUGUCGCGUUACAUAGGCAACACACGGCAAUACUUAAGCCCACUGAACUAACAUAAACUCCUUUAAGCAUCCUGUUAUGUAAGAAACCAAAUAAUAUUGAAAACUACUGACUUGAAAUUACAAUUCUAAGCCUUGGAUAAUACUGCAAUUUGUUGUUAGAAUUCAGACACUAUCUCUGCUUCCUGUAGCAAUCCAUAUGCCCCAGUUAAGGAACAUCUAGUAAACACUUUCCCUCACAUUUUCAUCAGUGGAUAAGAUAUAAGCCAGUUUUAUAUGUAAAUUAGUUAAUAAAGUUUGACAAUCUAUUCAUCUGGAAA